AAGUCGUAACAAGGUAUCCGUAGGUGAACCUGCGGAUGGAUCAUUAAGAAGUACUUUUAGCUCUUUUAGCCAAAAGAGAUAAUCCUUUGCCGAAAGGUGAAAGGUCUUUAACCGAUGUGGUCUAAUAGAACUGUGUUAGUUGGGCAGCAAUUGAUCGUGCGUGCUUCAUGCAUGUGUGAUUGAUUCGCCCGACAUUAUUAUACUAAACCAUAAUACUCUUUAUACAUUACCGACUGAUGUUGCCUUGCGACUCUUUGUGAAUCAUACAUCCGUGUGAUGAUCAAUGGUAACAAGUAAAACAAUUGUAAUCUAUAAUACAACUGCUAGCAACGGAUCACUCGGCUCUCA
This 348-nucleotide unclassified non-coding RNA is filed under the name fungal sp. RNAcentral describes it as "partial internal transcribed spacer region". The stretch from base 1 to 46 matches the Rfam family "Eukaryotic small subunit ribosomal RNA", at positions 1786 to 1831 of the family's 1831-position model. The record is from RNAcentral. Lineage: Eukaryota; Fungi.